UACGUAGGGUGCAAGCGUUAAUCGGAAUUACUGGGCGUAAAGCGUGCGCAGGCGGUGAUGUAAGACAGAUGUGAAAUCCCCGGGCUCAACCUGGGAAUGGCGAUGGUGACUGCAAGGCUAGAGUUUGGCAGAGGGGGGUAGAAUUCCACGUGUAGCAGUGAAAUGCGUAGAUAUGUGGAGGAACACCGAUGGCGAAGGCAGCCCCCUGGGUCAAAACUGACGCUCAUGCACGAAAGCGUGGGGAGCAAACAGG
This 253-nucleotide ribosomal RNA is filed under the name uncultured bacterium. RNAcentral describes it as "partial 16S ribosomal RNA". It matches the Rfam family "Bacterial small subunit ribosomal RNA", at positions 524 to 776 of the family's 1533-position model. The record is from RNAcentral.